GAAAUGCGAUACUUGGUGUGAAUUGCAGAAUCCCGUGAAUCAUCGAGUCUUUGAACGCACAUUGCGCCUUUUGGUAUUCCGAGAGGCACGCCUGUCUGAGCGUCAGUAAACCCCUUCGGCCAGUAAUUGAUUGCAAGGCCGGUUGUUGGCGUCGGUCGCCCCCUCAACCCGCGGACCCCGAAUAGGGCUUCGGGCGGGAGGCCCCACGCUUAAAGCCACUGAAAGCGGCCAAAGUCGGAGGCACGCCCGGGCGAUAGUAGAAAUAUUAAAUCGCUGCCAGGGAAGUAUUCGAUCGCUUAAAAAAAAUUGGUCGGCGGCGGUCCUCGAACCACCGUCUUUAUAUUUUUGACCUCAGAUCAGACGAGGAUACCCGCUGAACUUAA
Molecule: unclassified non-coding RNA, 383 nt
Filed under: uncultured Ascomycota
Lineage: Eukaryota; Fungi; Ascomycota
Description: sequence contains ITS1
Rfam family: 5.8S ribosomal RNA (bases 1-105)
Source: RNAcentral